AUUGGGUAGGGGAGCGUUCUGUAAGCCGUUGAAGGUGGUCUGUAAGGGCUGCUGGAGGUAUCAGAAGUGCGAAUGCUGACAUGAGUAACGACAAAGGGGGUGAAAAACCUCCUCGCCGGAAGACCAAGGGUUCCUGUCCAACGUUAAUCGGGGCAGGGUGAGUCGACCCCUAAGGUGAGGCCGAAAGGCGUAAUCGAUGGGAAACGGGUUAAUAUUCCCGUACUUCUGACUAUUGCGAUGGGGGGACGGAGAAGGCUAGGUGGGCCAGGCGACGGUUGUCCUGGUUCAAGUGCGUAGGCUUAAGAGUUAGGUAAAUCCGGCUCUUUCUAAGGCUGAGACACGACGUCGAGCUGCUACGGCAGUGAAGUCAUUGAUGCCAUGCUUCCAGGAAAAGCCUCUAAGCUUCAGAUAGUCAGGAAUCGUACCCCAAACCGACACAGGUGGUCGGGUAGAGAAUACCAAGGCGCUUGAGAGAACUCGGGUGAAGGAACUAGGCAAAAUGGUACCGUAACUUCGGGAGAAGGUACGCUCUUGAUGGUGAAGUCCCU
This 548-nucleotide ribosomal RNA is filed under the name Vibrio cholerae. Its description in RNAcentral is "partial 23S ribosomal RNA". It matches the Rfam family "Bacterial large subunit ribosomal RNA", at positions 1223 to 1770 of the family's 2925-position model. Lineage: Bacteria; Pseudomonadati; Pseudomonadota; Gammaproteobacteria; Vibrionales; Vibrionaceae. The record is from RNAcentral. RNAcentral also lists the same sequence under 1 other name.